RNAcentral lists this ribosomal RNA (432 nucleotides) under uncultured Desulfobulbus sp. RNAcentral's name for it is "bacterial SSU rRNA". It matches the Rfam family "Bacterial small subunit ribosomal RNA", at positions 956 to 1382 of the family's 1533-position model. The record is from RNAcentral. Lineage: Bacteria; Pseudomonadati; Thermodesulfobacteriota; Desulfobulbia; Desulfobulbales; Desulfobulbaceae.
GCAACGCGAAGAACCUUACCUGGUCUUGACAUCCCGGAGACCCUUAGGAAACUAGGGGGUGCUUCCAUCUGGAAGAAUCUGGAGACAGGUGCUGCAUGGCUGUCGUCAGCUCGUGUCGUGAGAUGUUGGGUUAAGUCCCGCAACGAGCGCAACCCUUGCCUUUAGUUGCCAGCAGUUCGGCUGGGCACUCUAAAGGGACUGCCGGUGUUAAACCGGAGGAAGGUGGGGAUGACGUCAAGUCCUCAUGGCCUUUAUGGCCAGGGCUACACACGUACUACAAUGGCCGAUACAAAGGGCAGCGACACUGCGAGGUGAAGCCAAUCCCGUAAAAUCGGUCUCAGUCCGGAUUGGAGUCUGCAACUCGACUCCAUGAAGUUGGAAUCGCUAGUAAUCGUGGAUCAGCAUGCCACGGUGAAUACGUUCCCGGGCCUU